RNAcentral lists this ribosomal RNA (253 nucleotides) under uncultured bacterium. RNAcentral describes it as "partial 16S ribosomal RNA". It matches the Rfam family "Bacterial small subunit ribosomal RNA", at positions 524 to 776 of the family's 1533-position model. The record is from RNAcentral.
UACGGAGGGUGCGAGCGUUGUCCGGAAUCACUGGGCGUAAAGGGCGCGUAGGCGGCCUGAUAAGUAGGGGGUGAAAUCCUGCGGCUUAACCGCAGGGCUGCCUUCUAAACUGUCAGGCUGGAGCACAGUAGAGGCAGGUGGAAUUCCCGGUGUAGCGGUGAAAUGCGCAGAUAUCAGGAGGAGCACCGGUGGCGAAGGCGGGUCUCUGGGCCGAUACUGACGCUGAGGAGCGAAAGCGUGGGGAGCGAACAGG